UCGGGAAUUUUGGGCAAUGGGCGAAAGCCUGACCCAGCAACGCCGCGUGAAGGAUGAAGUAUUUCGGUAUGUAAACUUCGAAAGAAUGGGAAGAAUAAAUGACGGUACCAUUUAUAAGCUCCGGCUAACUACGUGCCAGCAGCCGCGGUAAUACGUAGGGAGCAAGCGUUGUUCGGAUUUACUGGGCGUAAAGGGCGCGUAGGCGGCGCGGUAAGUCACUUGUGAAAUCUCUGAGCUUAACUCAGAACGGCCAAGUGAUACUGCAGUGCUAGAGUGCAGAAGGGGCAAUCGGAAUUCUUGGUGUAGCGGUGAAAUGCGUAGAUAUCAAGAGGAACACCUGAGGUGAAGACGGGUUGCUGGGCUGACACUGACGCUGAGGCGCGAAAGCCAGGGGAGCAAACGGGAUUAGAUACCCGUGUAGUCCCUGAGCGGGCUGGCAAGGCGCAU
Molecule: ribosomal RNA, 447 nt
Filed under: uncultured bacterium
Lineage: Bacteria
Description: bacterial SSU rRNA
Rfam family: Bacterial small subunit ribosomal RNA
Source: RNAcentral